RNAcentral lists this ribosomal RNA (1511 nucleotides) under Klebsiella pneumoniae IS46. RNAcentral's name for it is "SSU rRNA". It matches the Rfam family "Bacterial small subunit ribosomal RNA". The record is from RNAcentral. Lineage: Bacteria; Pseudomonadati; Pseudomonadota; Gammaproteobacteria; Enterobacterales; Enterobacteriaceae.
UUAAAUUGAAGAGUUUGAUCAUGGCUCAGAUUGAACGCUGGCGGCAGGCCUAACACAUGCAAGUCGAGCGGUAGCACAGAGAGCUUGCUCUCGGGUGACGAGCGGCGGACGGGUGAGUAAUGUCUGGGAAACUGCCUGAUGGAGGGGGAUAACUACUGGAAACGGUAGCUAAUACCGCAUAACGUCGCAAGACCAAAGUGGGGGACCUUCGGGCCUCAUGCCAUCAGAUGUGCCCAGAUGGGAUUAGCUAGUAGGUGGGGUAACGGCUCACCUAGGCGACGAUCCCUAGCUGGUCUGAGAGGAUGACCAGCCACACUGGAACUGAGACACGGUCCAGACUCCUACGGGAGGCAGCAGUGGGGAAUAUUGCACAAUGGGCGCAAGCCUGAUGCAGCCAUGCCGCGUGUGUGAAGAAGGCCUUCGGGUUGUAAAGCACUUUCAGCGGGGAGGAAGGCGUUAAGGUUAAUAACCUUGGCGAUUGACGUUACCCGCAGAAGAAGCACCGGCUAACUCCGUGCCAGCAGCCGCGGUAAUACGGAGGGUGCAAGCGUUAAUCGGAAUUACUGGGCGUAAAGCGCACGCAGGCGGUCUGUCAAGUCGGAUGUGAAAUCCCCGGGCUCAACCUGGGAACUGCAUUCGAAACUGGCAGGCUAGAGUCUUGUAGAGGGGGGUAGAAUUCCAGGUGUAGCGGUGAAAUGCGUAGAGAUCUGGAGGAAUACCGGUGGCGAAGGCGGCCCCCUGGACAAAGACUGACGCUCAGGUGCGAAAGCGUGGGGAGCAAACAGGAUUAGAUACCCUGGUAGUCCACGCCGUAAACGAUGUCGAUUUGGAGGUUGUGCCCUUGAGGCGUGGCUUCCGGAGCUAACGCGUUAAAUCGACCGCCUGGGGAGUACGGCCGCAAGGUUAAAACUCAAAUGAAUUGACGGGGGCCCGCACAAGCGGUGGAGCAUGUGGUUUAAUUCGAUGCAACGCGAAGAACCUUACCUGGUCUUGACAUCCACAGAACUUUCCAGAGAUGGAUUGGUGCCUUCGGGAACUGUGAGACAGGUGCUGCAUGGCUGUCGUCAGCUCGUGUUGUGAAAUGUUGGGUUAAGUCCCGCAACGAGCGCAACCCUUAUCCUUUGUUGCCAGCGGUUAGGCCGGGAACUCAAAGGAGACUGCCAGUGAUAAACUGGAGGAAGGUGGGGAUGACGUCAAGUCAUCAUGGCCCUUACGACCAGGGCUACACACGUGCUACAAUGGCAUAUACAAAGAGAAGCGACCUCGCGAGAGCAAGCGGACCUCAUAAAGUAUGUCGUAGUCCGGAUUGGAGUCUGCAACUCGACUCCAUGAAGUCGGAAUCGCUAGUAAUCGUAGAUCAGAAUGCUACGGUGAAUACGUUCCCGGGCCUUGUACACACCGCCCGUCACACCAUGGGAGUGGGUUGCAAAAGAAGUAGGUAGCUUAACCUUCGGGAGGGCGCUUACCACUUUGUGAUUCAUGACUGGGGUGAAGUCGUAACAAGGUAACCG